UGGGGAAUUUUGGACCAUGGGCGCAAGCCUGAUCCAGCCAUUCCGCGUGCAGGACGAAGGCCUUCGGGUUGUAAACUGCUAUUGUACGGUACGAAAAGCCCUUCUCUAAUACAGAGGGGUCAUGACGGUACCGUAAGAAUAAGCACCGGCUAACAACGUGCCAGCAGCCGCGGUAAUACGUAGGGUGCAAGCGUUAAUCGGAAUUACUGGGCGUAAAGCGUGCGCAGGCGGUGAUGUAAGACAGAUGUGAAAUCCCCGGGCUCAACCUGGGAACUGCAUUUGUGACUGCAUAGCUAGCAUGCGGCAGAGGGGGAUGUGAUUCCGCGUGUAGCAGUGAAGUGCGUAGAUAUGCUGAGGAACACCGAUGGCGAAGGCAAUCCCCUGGGCCUGCACUGACGCUCACGCACGAAAGCGUGGGGAGCAAACC
This 427-nucleotide ribosomal RNA is filed under the name uncultured bacterium. Its description in RNAcentral is "bacterial SSU rRNA". It matches the Rfam family "Bacterial small subunit ribosomal RNA", at positions 355 to 774 of the family's 1533-position model. The record is from RNAcentral.